RNAcentral lists this ribosomal RNA (549 nucleotides) under Trichoderma sp. FL-2010l. RNAcentral describes it as "eukaryotic LSU rRNA". The stretch from base 171 to 324 matches the Rfam family "5.8S ribosomal RNA". Lineage: Eukaryota; Fungi; Ascomycota; Sordariomycetes; Hypocreales; Hypocreaceae. The record is from RNAcentral.
CGUUACCAAACUGUUGCCUCGGCGGGAUCUCUGCCCCGGGUGCGUCGCAGCCCCGGACCAAGGCGCCCGCCGGAGGACCAACCAAAACUCUUAUUGUAUACCCCCUCGCGGGUUUUUUUAUAAUCUGAGCCUUCUCGGCGCCUCUCGUAGGCGUUUCGAAAAUGAAUCAAAACUUUCAACAACGGAUCUCUUGGUUCUGGCAUCGAUGAAGAACGCAGCGAAAUGCGAUAAGUAAUGUGAAUUGCAGAAUUCAGUGAAUCAUCGAAUCUUUGAACGCACAUUGCGCCCGCCAGUAUUCUGGCGGGCAUGCCUGUCCGAGCGUCAUUUCAACCCUCGAACCCCUCCGGGGGGUCGGCGUUGGGGAUCGGCCCUGCCUCUUGGCGGCGGCCGUCUCCGAAAUACAGUGGCGGUCUCGCCGCAGCCUCUCCUGCGCAGUAGUUUGCACACUCGCAUCGGGAGCGCGGCGCGUCCACAGCCGUUAAACACCCAACUUCUGAAAUGUUGACCUCGGAUCAGGUAGGAAUACCCGCUGAACUUAAGCAUAUCAAU